AAGACUAUACUUUCAGGGAUCAUUUCUAUAGUUCNUUACUAGAGAAGUUUCUCUGACUGUGUAGAGAAAGUAAGCUCCAAAUGGU
This 85-nucleotide small nucleolar RNA is filed under the name Neotoma lepida (desert woodrat). RNAcentral describes it as "Small nucleolar RNA U3". It matches the Rfam family "Small nucleolar RNA U3", at positions 1 to 86 of the family's 219-position model. From Rfam's summary of the family: Small nucleolar RNAs (snoRNAs) are involved in the processing and modification of rRNA in the nucleolus. There are two main classes of snoRNAs: the box C/D class, and the box H/ACA class. The record is from Rfam by way of RNAcentral. Lineage: Eukaryota; Metazoa; Chordata; Mammalia; Rodentia; Cricetidae.